GACGAACGCUGGCGGCGUGCCUAAUACAUGCAAGUAGAACGCUGAAGGAGGAGCUUGCUUCUCUGGAUGAGUUGCGAACGGGUGAGUAACGCGUAGGUAACCUGCCUGGUAGCGGGGGAUAACUAUUGGAAACGAUAGCUAAUACCGCAUAAUAUUGACUAUUGCAUGAUAGUCAGUUGAAAGGUGCAACUGCACCACUACCAGAUGGACCUGCGUUGUAUUAGCUAGUUGGUGGGGUAACGGCUCACCAAGGCGACGAUACAUAGCCGACCUGAGAGGGUGAUCGGCCACACUGGGACUGAGACACGGCCCAGACUCCUACGGGAGGCAGCAGUAGGGAAUCUUCGGCAAUGGACGGAAGUCUGACCGAGCAACGCCGCGUGAGUGAAGAAGGUUUUCGGAUCGUAAAGCUCUGUUGUAAGAGAAGAACGAGUGUGAGAGUGGAAAGCACACACUGUGACGGUAUCUUACCAGAAAGGGACGGCUAACUACGUG
This 495-nucleotide ribosomal RNA is filed under the name uncultured bacterium. RNAcentral's name for it is "partial 16S ribosomal RNA". It matches the Rfam family "Bacterial small subunit ribosomal RNA", at positions 28 to 507 of the family's 1533-position model. The record is from RNAcentral.